Podarcis lilfordi (Lilford's wall lizard) is the source of this 74-nucleotide non-coding RNA. The record is from the annotation of a GenBank genome assembly. Lineage: Eukaryota; Metazoa; Chordata; Lepidosauria; Squamata; Lacertidae.
GCUUGGGAUAGCUUAGUCGGUAGAGCAUGAGACUCUUAAUAUCAAUGUCGUGGGUUCGAGCCUUACACUGGGUA